UACGGAGGGUGCAAGCGUUAUCCGGAUUCACUGGGUUUAAAGGGUGCGUAGGUGGAUUGGUAAGUCCGUGGUGAAAUCCCCGAGCUUAACUCGGGAACUGCCGUGGAUACUAUCAAUCUUGAAUACUGUGGAGGUAAGCGGAAUAUGUCAUGUAGCGGUGAAAUGCUUAGAUAUGACAUAGAACACCGAUAGCGAAGGCAGCUUGCUACACAGUCAUUGACACUGAGGCACGAAAGCGUGGGGAGCAAACGGG
RNAcentral lists this ribosomal RNA (253 nucleotides) under uncultured bacterium. RNAcentral describes it as "partial 16S ribosomal RNA". It matches the Rfam family "Bacterial small subunit ribosomal RNA", at positions 524 to 776 of the family's 1533-position model. The record is from RNAcentral.